CCGCCGUAAACCCGAGGUUUCCAGGGCAACGUGUUUCGUCCCUGGGUUAGCCGGGACCUAAGCCGAGGCCGAGAGGCGUAGGCGAUGGACAUCAGGUUAAUAAUCCUGAGCUCGCAACCCUUAAACUGGGGGGACGCAUGAGAAAAGAUGACUAGGUUAUUGAAUUCCGAGUUGAGUCCACGGACUCAGCGCAUCAUUGGAUCGAGUGCCAAGAAAAGCCCCAGCGUAUGCUAAGCGACCCGUACCGCAAACCGACACAGGUGGGUGGGUAGAAUAUACCAAGGCGUAAGAGUGAAACCUGGUUAAGGAACUCGGCAAAUUAACCCCGUAACUUCGGAAGAAGGGGUCCCUGCAGCGAUGCAGGCCGCAGAGAAAUGGCCCAACCGACUGUUUAUCAAAAACACAGCACUCUGCAAAGACGCAAGUCGAAGUAUAGGGUGUGACACGUGACCAAUGCCGAAAGAUUAAGGCAAGGGGUUAGCCGCAAGGCGAAGCUCUAAACCCAAGUCCCGGUGAAUGUCGGCCGUAACUAUAACGGUCCUAAGGUAGCGAAAUUCCUUGUCGGGUAAGUUCCGACCUGCACGAAUCGUGAAACGAGUUGGGCACUGUCUCAACCAGGCGCUCAGUGAAAUUGUAGUGGCGGUGAAGAUGCCGCCUACCCGCAGAAGGACGGAAAGACCCUAUAGACCUUAACUGUAAGCUGUCAUUGUUUCUUCGGUUUUAAUGCUCAGAGUAAGUGGGAGACGCUGAAGACGCCCUUUAGGGGGCGUCCGAGUCAUCAAUGAGACACCACCCUUUGAAACUGGAGGAUCUAACCCUGAGCCGUGAAUCCGGCCAGAGGACCGUGUCAGCCGGUCAGUUUUACUGGGGCGGUAUCCUCCCAAAGAGUAACGGAGGAGCGCGAAGGUGGGCUCAGCCCGGUUGGCAACCGGGUGUCGAGUGCAUGGGCAUAAGCCCGCCUAACUGUGAGACCAACAAGUCGAGCAGAUGCGAAAGCAGGCCCAAGUGAUCCGGCGGUAGAAAGUGGAAUUGCCGUCGCUCAACGGAUAAAAGGUACCUUAGGGAUAACAGGCUGAUCACGCCCAAGAGUUCAUAUCGACGGCGUGGUUUGGCACCUCGAUGUCGGCUCGUCGCAUCCUGGGGCUGGAGAAGGUCCCAAGGGUCCGGCUGUUCGCCGGUUAAAGCGGCACGCGAGCUGGGUUCAGAACGUCGCGAGACAGUUCGGUCCUCUAUCCUCUGUGGGCGUUGGAAAAUUGAGGGGUUCAGACCUUAGUACGAGAGGACCGGGUCUGACGCACCACUGGUGCAUCGGUUGUACUGUCAAGUGCAUGGCCGAGUAGCUAAGUGCGGACGGGAUAAGCGCUGAAAGCAUCUAAGCGCCAAGCCCUUCCCAAGAUGAGUUUUCCCUACAGGUUCGUGGAAGACCACCACGUUGAUAGGUCGCAGGUGUAAGUGCAGCAAUGUAUUGAGCCGAGCGAUACUAAUUACCAAUUGACUUCAUC
This 1502-nucleotide ribosomal RNA is filed under the name human gut metagenome. Its description in RNAcentral is "bacterial LSU rRNA". It matches the Rfam family "Bacterial large subunit ribosomal RNA", at positions 1334 to 2925 of the family's 2925-position model. The record is from RNAcentral.